GGUUAAGUUAGAAAGGGCGCACGGUGGAUGCCUUGGCACUAGGAGCCGAAGAAGGACGGGACUAACACCGAUAUGCUUUGGGGAGCUGUACGUAAGCGUUGAUCCAGAGAUUUCCGAAUGGGGGAACCCACUAUCUUUAGUCGGAUAGUAUCCUUACGUGAAUACAUAGCGUGAGGAAGGCAGACCCAGGGAACUGAAACAUCUAAGUACCUGGAGGAAGAGAAAGCAAAAUCGAUUUCCUGAGUAGCGGCGAGCGAAACGGAAAGAGCCCAAACCAAGAAGCUUGCUUCUUGGGGUUGUAGGACACUCUAUACGGAGUUACAAAAGAAAGUUAUAAAUGAAGCGGUCUGGAAAGGCCCGCCAAAGACGGUAACAGCCCGGUAGUUGAAAUGGCUUUCCCUCCAGAGUGGAUCCUGAGUACGGCGGAACACGUGAAAUUCCGUCGGAAUCCGGGAGGACCAUCUCCCAAGGCUAAAUACUCCCUAGUGACCGAUAG
Molecule: ribosomal RNA, 496 nt
Filed under: Leptospira borgpetersenii serovar Ballum
Lineage: Bacteria; Pseudomonadati; Spirochaetota; Leptospiria; Leptospirales; Leptospiraceae
Description: partial 23S ribosomal RNA
Rfam family: Bacterial large subunit ribosomal RNA
Source: RNAcentral